Molecule: ribosomal RNA, 467 nt
Filed under: uncultured bacterium
Lineage: Bacteria
Description: partial 16S ribosomal RNA
Rfam family: Bacterial small subunit ribosomal RNA
Source: RNAcentral
GACGAACGCUGGCGGCGUGCUUAACACAUGCAAGUCGAACGGAAAGGCCCUGCUUUUGUGGGGUGCUCGAGUGGCGAACGGGUGAGUAACACGUGAGUAACCUGCCCUUGACUUUGGGAUAACUUCAGGAAACUGGGGCUAAUACCGGAUAGGAGCUCCUGCUGCAUGGUGGGGGUUGGAAAGUUUCGGCGGUUGGGGAUGGACUCGCGGCUUAUCAGCUUGUUGGGGGGGUAGUGGCUUACCAGGGCUUUGACGGGUAGCCGGCCUGAGAGGUGACCGGCCACAUUGGGACUGAGAUACGGCCCAGACUCCUACGGGAGGCAGCAGUGGGGAAUAUUGCACAAUGGGCGGAAGCCUGAUGCAGCAACGCCGCGUGCGGGAUGACGGCCUUCGGGUUGUAAACCGCUUUCGCCUGUGACGAAGCGUGAGUGACGGUAAUGGGUAAAGAAGCACCGGCUAACUACGUG